Unclassified non-coding RNA from Macaca fascicularis (crab-eating macaque), 148 nucleotides. It matches the Rfam family "Metazoan signal recognition particle RNA". From Rfam's summary of the family: The signal recognition particle (SRP) is a universally conserved ribonucleoprotein. The record is from Ensembl. Lineage: Eukaryota; Metazoa; Chordata; Mammalia; Primates; Cercopithecidae.
GCUGGGUGUGGUGGCGCACACCUGUAAUCCCAGCUACUUGGGAGGCUGAAACAGGAGAAUCGCUUGAACCUGGGAGGUGGAGGUUGCGGUGAGCCAAGAUCACACCACUGCACUCCAGCCUGGGUGACAGAGCAAGACUCUGUCUCAA